GGGGAAUAUUGGACAAUGGGCGGAAGCCUGAUCCAGCCAUGCCGCGUGUGUGAAGAAGGCCUUUUGGUUGUAAAGCACUUUAAGCGAGGAGGAGGCUACUUAGAUUAAUACUCUAGGAUAGUGGACGUUACUCGCAGAAUAAGCACCGGCUAACUCUGUGCCAGCAGCCGCGGUAAUACAGAGGGUGCGAGCGUUAAUCGGAUUUACUGGGCGUAAAGCGUGCGUAGGCGGCUUUUUAAGUCGGAUGUGAAAUCCCUGAGCUUAACUUAGGAAUUGCAUUCGAUACUGGGAAGCUAGAGUAUGGGAGAGGAUGGUAGAAUUCCAGGUGCAGCGGUGAAAUGCGUAGAGAUCUGGAGGAAUACCGAUGGCGAAGGCAGCCAUCUGGCCUAAUACUGACGCUGAGGUACGAAAGCAUGGGGAGCGAACAGGAUUAGAUACCCUGGUAGUCCAUGCCGUAAACGAUGUCUACUAGCCGUUGGGGCCUUUGAGGCUUUAGUGGCGCAGCUAACGCGAUAAGUAGACCGCCUGGGGAGUACGGUCGCAAGACUA
This 549-nucleotide ribosomal RNA is filed under the name uncultured bacterium. Its description in RNAcentral is "bacterial SSU rRNA". It matches the Rfam family "Bacterial small subunit ribosomal RNA", at positions 356 to 896 of the family's 1533-position model. The record is from RNAcentral.